Molecule: RNA transcript, 1550 nt
Organism: Panicum virgatum (switchgrass)
Lineage: Eukaryota; Viridiplantae; Streptophyta; Magnoliopsida; Poales; Poaceae
Gene name: serine/threonine-protein kinase Nek2-like
Exons: 6
Source: RefSeq, a predicted model, not a curated record
UAUUUGGCAAUUUGGGAGCCCAUCGGGCGGGGAAGGUCGACCUGAACCCUGCGAUUUCCACGGGGCGGCUCCUCCCCACCUCGAGGGUCCGGGCGAGGAUUCCCGAGCGGCGUCACGAGAAAAAGAAGGCGCAGCGCCGCCGCCCCGCUUCCGUCCAGCGCCGUUGUCCUGCCUCCGCCGCCUCUACUCCGUCGAGCGCCACCGCUCCGUCUCUAUCCCAGUGUCGCCGCUGCUCCACCUCUUCCCCAACUCCGUCGAUCCCGCCGCCGCCCCCCCCCCCCCCCCCCCCCGCUUCCCCGUCGAGAUGCCGCCGCGCCGAUCUACAUCGAGACCUCUACUCGGCCGGCUCCUCCGCAGCUUGUAUUCGUACUUGCUCAUGUGAGUUUCCUCUCGUUGCUUUCUGAUCUUCCAUGUCUCCGCUGUAGAUCGGCGUAUCUAGGGUUUGUACUCCCUCCUCUUGUAGAUCCUAUCCUUGCUGAUCUCCAAGAUCCUCUCCAAUAUCCAAUUCUUGCUGUUCUCUGGGAACUGGUUAGAUGUAAACAGCUACUUGGGUUGGCAUACUUGCAGUGCUGAUUGGAACUGGUUUGUGUUAAUGUUUAUGGAUUAGUGAAAUUGUAUCUGGAUUAAUGAAAUCUGGGAACUGGUUUGUGCCUGUGUGUUUAUGUGAAACAGUAUUACCAUUUCGGCGAAUCGAACUUGAAGGUAACGGUGUCUUUCCAGCCCUCCUCGGCCUUGAUGGUGAUGCUGUCGUCGUUGUUGGCGCAGCGGAAAGCCUUGGCCAUUUCGGCACAAAGGCAUGCUUUCUAGCACGCUACACAAUUUUGGAAACAAUUUAAUUUGCAUUCUAAACAAAUGCAGGUGACUUUGGGCUUGCAAAAAUAUUAACCCCUGAUGAUCUAGCAUCCUUGUAGGAACACCAAGUCACAUGUGCCCGGAAUUUCUUGCGGAUAUACCUUAUGGUAACAAAUCCGAUAUUUGGUCGCUAGGGUGCUGCAUGUAUGAAACGGCUGCGCUCAGACCCGCAUUUAAAGCUUUUUGGCUCAUAAUGCAAUGAGCUAAAUCUUUAUUGUGGCAUAUGGUACUGCUUGGGACAUACUGUGGUGCUAUGGAAUUUUUCGGUUGACUCAGUUUGGAACAUACAUGCAGUCUGUGAACUGCUUAUCUGAAUUAAAAGUUAGGUUCCAAUAUCAGUACCAUCAUCAUCUGAUCUUGAGAGUAUCCUCUCGCCAGAUCCAAUCUUCAGUGAUCUUCAGUUGAAAGAGAGAAACUACAAUGCUCCAGCCUGUUCACCGCGUGCUUCUACUUCUGCUGUUAGCCUGCCACGAGACAUGCAAGUGCAGCUUCUGCUUCUGCGUGCUUCUGCUUCUGUCUUCAUGAAUUUCUUUUUUGAACAUAAUUGUCUUCAUGAAUUUCUCAAGAAUUUUAUCCUAUUGUGUGAUGGAUGAAUUGAACGUGUUGGGAUUUGAUCGAUGGAAAACUACUCUGGCUUGCAUUGCGAUCGGUUGAGAAUGAAUUGAAUUAUUUUGUACGUCGCAGAUUUUGAGUUUUCA